Molecule: transfer RNA, 73 nt
Rfam family: tRNA
About the family: Transfer RNA (tRNA) molecules are approximately 80 nucleotides in length. Their secondary structure includes four short double-helical elements and three loops (D, anti-codon, and T loops). Further hydrogen bonds mediate the characteristic L-shaped molecular structure. tRNAs have two regions of fundamental functional importance: the anti-codon, which is responsible for specific mRNA codon recognition, and the 3' end, to which the tRNAs corresponding amino acid is attached (by aminoacyl-tRNA synthetases). tRNAs cope with the degeneracy of the genetic code in two manners: having more than one tRNA (with a specific anti-codon) for a particular amino acid; and 'wobble' base-pairing, i.e. permitting non-standard base-pairing at the 3rd anti-codon position.
Source: Rfam
GCCGUUUUAGCUCAGCAGGUAGAGCACUUCCAUGGUAAGGAAGAGGUCAUCGGUUCAAAUCCGAUAAACGGCU